Molecule: ribosomal RNA, 442 nt
Filed under: uncultured bacterium
Lineage: Bacteria
Description: partial 16S ribosomal RNA
Rfam family: Bacterial small subunit ribosomal RNA
Source: RNAcentral
CCUACGGGAGGCAGCAGUGGGGAAUAUUGGUCAAUGGACGCAAGUCUGACCCAGCAACGCCGCGUGAAGGAAGAAGGCUUUCGGGUUGUAAACUUCUUUUAAGGGGGAAGAGCAGAAGACGGUACCCCUUGAAUAAGCCACGGCUAACUACGCGCCACCAGCCGCGGUAAUACGGAGGUGGCAAGCGUUGUCCGGAUUUACUGGGUGUAAAGGGCGUGGAGCCGGGGAGGCAAGUCAGAUGUGAAAUCCGAGGGCUCAACUCGAGAACUGCAUUUGAAACUGCUUCCCUUGAGUAUCGGAGAGGUAAUCGGAAUUCCUGGUGUAGCGGUGAAAUGCGUAGAUAUUAGGAAGAACACCAGUGGCGAAGGCGGACUACUGGACGACAACUGACGGUGAGGCGCGAAAGCGUGGGGAGCAAACAGGAUUAGAUACCCGAGUAGUC